Molecule: ribosomal RNA, 433 nt
Filed under: uncultured bacterium
Lineage: Bacteria
Description: partial 16S ribosomal RNA
Rfam family: Bacterial small subunit ribosomal RNA
Source: RNAcentral
AACGAACGCUGGCGGCAGGCUUAACACAUGCAAGUCGAACGCACCUUCCGGGAUGAGUGGCAGACGGGUGAGUAACGCGUGGGAAUCUACCCUUCUCUACGGGAUAGCUCCGGGAAACUGGAAUUAAUACCGUAUACGUCCUGAUGGAGAAAGAUUUAUCGUGGAAGGAUGAGCCCGCGUUGGAUUAGCUAGUCGGUGGGGUAAAGGCCUACCAAGGCUACGAUCCAUAGCUGGUCUAAGAGGAUGAUCAGCCACAUUGGGACUGGGACACGGCCCAAACUCCUACGGGAGGCAGCAGUGGGGAAUAUUGGACAACGGGCGCAAGCCUGAUCCAGCCAUGCCGCGUGAGUGAUGAAGGCCGUAGGGUUGUAAAGCUCUUUCAGUGGGGACGAUAAUGACGGUACCCACAGAAGAAGCCCCGGCUAACUUCGUG